RNAcentral lists this long non-coding RNA (1188 nucleotides) under Nothobranchius furzeri (turquoise killifish). Its description in RNAcentral is "lncRNA (ENSNFUG00015017874.1)". Lineage: Eukaryota; Metazoa; Chordata; Actinopteri; Cyprinodontiformes; Nothobranchiidae. The record is from RNAcentral.
UGUCUGUUUGUUUUAUGCUGUUCUAUCUUUUAUCGUUGUGUAUUUUAUCUCUGUCUGUAAAGUGUCCUUGAGUGUUUAAAAAGGUGCUGGUGAAAUAAAAUGUAUUAUUAUUAUUAUUAUUAUUAUUAACAUUGAAGCCAGCCUCUAUGUGCUCAGAAAUAUGGUUGCCAUGGUGUACGAAACCAUGCAUGCUCAUGAUCAAACAUACAAUGUCAGGCCAAGAACUAGAUCUGUCUGCUGAUGUGUGGCUUUCAAAGUGAUGUCAAAGUGUGACCAAGAUCCCAUAGUUAGAGCUGCAGAGCUUGUUGCCAUGGUUUUAAUUUCUGAAGGCUGUUGAUUCACAGCAUGGGGAGGAAAAUAAAUGCUGCAUAGAUUGACUCAUCCUAAAAACAGUCGUAUACUUAGAGAAGACACAGUGUGUGUGUGUGUGUGUGUGUGUGUGUGUGUGUGUGUGUGUGUGUGUGUGUGUGUGUGUGUGUGUGUUUUGGUGUGUGUGCACUGCGAACAAUCAUCCCUUGGGGCAGCUACCAGCAACGGUUCGAAUAAUUGCCGAGAAAACAGUAGAAACACCCUUGAUAACCCUCUCUUUUCUUCAUCACCUCUUAUCUCUCAACCAGUUGCACCCACAUGAUUUAAAAAAUCUUCCAUUUCUGGAGUGGUUUGUCCUUUCACUGCAACAACUUUGUUACCACCUUUGACUGCAGCCUGCAUAUAAGUCAGAAGGUAGACUGUAAUCAGCUGGCAACACAUUAAGUGGUGUGUUUUCAGACUGAAAGAGGUGGGAAAGGAUUCACUGUAGACACAGGUUUGUUUAGAUUUUUCUCUUUGUUCUUAUUUUAAACUCUUGGUCGUUCUCUGAUCCCCUUACAGUUUAACACUAAGCCAUGUAUUUAUUUUAAGACUUUUUUUUUUACUUUUAUGUAAUUUUUUUAAAUGUUUUAUUCAUAAGACACUUUGUUUUAUUCCACCAAAUAAUAUUCUAGAAGUGUAUGCUGACUUGUAUUUAAUAUUUGCAAUAUGUUUGUCUGUUGUGAUUAAAUGAAGAAAAAAAAGAGCUAAUAUAUGUGGAUCUGCAAUCUUCUAAGUCAAAGUUUGAUCUUUUUUUUUUAUCAGAUGGAUGUUUGUGCUAAAUUUUGAAAAACAUGAAAGUGCACUUUUAGAGAAAAAGAUUUUUCUUGAUAGAUAAAA